GACGAGGUGGCCGAGUGGGUAAGGCGAUGGACUGCUAAUCCAUUGUGCUCUGCACGCGUGGGUUCGAAUCCCGUCCUCGGCG
Molecule: transfer RNA, 82 nt
Filed under: Danio rerio (zebrafish)
Lineage: Eukaryota; Metazoa; Chordata; Actinopteri; Cypriniformes; Danionidae
Description: tRNA-Ser (GCT) (tRNA-Ser-GCT-103-1)
Rfam family: tRNA
About the family: Transfer RNA (tRNA) molecules are approximately 80 nucleotides in length. Their secondary structure includes four short double-helical elements and three loops (D, anti-codon, and T loops).
Source: Rfam by way of RNAcentral